RNAcentral lists this transfer RNA (81 nucleotides) under Litorihabitans aurantiacus. RNAcentral's name for it is "tRNA-Ser". Lineage: Bacteria; Bacillati; Actinomycetota; Actinomycetes; Micrococcales; Beutenbergiaceae. The record is from RNAcentral.
GGACGUGUGGACGAGGUAGGCCACGUCGUCGAGCGCCGGAAGCGCAGGGAGCGCCGGCGGCUCGGUCUCGUUCGCGUCCUC